RNAcentral lists this long non-coding RNA (916 nucleotides) under Zonotrichia albicollis (white-throated sparrow). RNAcentral's name for it is "lncRNA (ENSZALG00000001132.1)". The record is from RNAcentral. Lineage: Eukaryota; Metazoa; Chordata; Aves; Passeriformes; Passerellidae.
GUGUGUGUGUUCCAGGUGUGUGCACGCCUGUCUGUGUGUGUUCUGUGUGUGUGCGAGUGUCCCCGGGGUUGUGUGUCACCCUGCGUGUGUCACCGUGUGUGUGUCACCCACCCUGCGUGUGCCACCCUGUGUUUGUCACCCUGCGUGUGUCACCGUGUGUGUGUCACCGUGUGUGUGUCACCCACCCUGCAUGUGUCACCCCACGUGUGUCACGUGUGUGACUGUUCCCCAGGUGUUCACAGUGUGUUCUCUGUGUGUGUCACCUGGGAAUGUGUCACUGUGAGUGUGUCACCGUGAGUCACCCUGCGUGUGUCACCGUGUGUGUGUGUCCCCAUGUGUUCACACCUGUGUGUUCUCUGUGUGUGUGUCACCCUGAGUGUGUCACCCACCCUGCAUGUGUCACCCCGCGUGUGUCACCCUGAGUGUGUCACCAUGAGUCACCCUGCGUGUGUCACCCUGCAGGGGAGUGUGAGUGUUCCCCAGGUGUUCACACCUGUGAGUGUGUUUUGUGUGUGUUCACACCUGUGUGUGUGUUUUGUGUGUGUUCCGUGUGUGUUCACACUUGUGUGUGUUCUGUGUGUUCAAAUCUAUGUGUGGUUGUUCACACCUGUGUUCACACCUGUGCAUUCCAAGUGUGUUCACACCUGUAUGUAUCCUCUGUGUGUAGUCACACCUGCGAGUUCACACCUGGGCAUUCCAUGUGUGUUCACACCUGUGCGUGUGAGUUCACACCUGAGCAUUCACACCUGUGUGUGAGUUCACACCUGUGUGUGUGUGUGUUCUGUGUGUUCACACCUGUGAGUUCACACCUGUGUGCGUGUUCACACCUGUGGGUGAGUUCACACCUGUGUGUGUGCGAGUUCACACCUGAGCGUUCACACCUGCGCGUGCCCCACCUGUGCCCUCACACCUUGGG